This 273-nucleotide ribosomal RNA is filed under the name uncultured bacterium. Its description in RNAcentral is "partial 16S ribosomal RNA". It matches the Rfam family "Bacterial small subunit ribosomal RNA", at positions 523 to 796 of the family's 1533-position model. The record is from RNAcentral.
AUACGGGGGGAGCAAGCGUUGUCCGGAAUCACUGGGCGUAAAGGUCGUGUAGGCGGGCUGAUAAGUCAGAUGUGAAAGCCACGGCUUAACCGUGGAAUUGCAUUUGAUACUGUCAGUCUUGAGUGCGAGAGAGGGUAGUGGAAUUCCCGGUGUAGCGGUGAAAUGCGUAGAUAUCGGGAAGAACACCAGUAGCGAAGGCGGCUACCUGGCUCGCAACUGACGCUAAGGCGCGAAAGCGUGGGGAGCAAACAGGAUUAGAUACCCCAGUAGUCC